Molecule: long non-coding RNA, 1067 nt
Filed under: Homo sapiens (human)
Lineage: Eukaryota; Metazoa; Chordata; Mammalia; Primates; Hominidae
Description: long non-coding RNA NONHSAT173353.1
Source: RNAcentral
GGGGAUAGGAGGGCUCAGGGUCUCGGGAACUCCCAGCAGCACCCUCAGGCCUCUCCCCCGUCUGCCCGCAGGACGCUGACUUGGCUCGUUUGCUGAGCUCCGGCUCCUUCGGAAACCUGGAGAACCUCAGUUUGGCCUUCACCAAUGUAACCAGUGCCUGCGCCGAGCACCUCAUCAAACUGCCUUCGCUCAAGCAGCUGAACCUGUGGUCCACUCAGCCAUGAAGAGUCUCUGCAGUUUAAACAUGAACAGCACCAAGCUCUCAGCUGACACCUACGAAGAUCUGAAGGCCAAGCUUCCCAAUUUGAAGGAAGUGGACGUCCGCUACACCGAAGCCUGGUGAAGCUCCCAGCUCAAGGCAGGAAGACGUUUGCAACCGCGACAAAAUAACUCUUGACUAACAGCCGCAGAGCAGCCGGUCCUGGGGUCCCACCCUGGUGCCCUGGCUGUGAGAUAGAUGGGGAGUCUUUCUGGGGGCGGAGGGGGGAGGGGGUGGGGAGGGGGCCCACAAGCACGCCCAGCCCCCGCCGAAUUCUUUUAGCUUCGUAAUUGGAACCUUUGACCUGAUCUAAAGUGGACUUUGUAGCAACAAGAGGAGCAUCAGCGGGUCGGGGAGGGGUUUGGGGGUGGGCUGGGGGGUGGGGGACCCUUUGUGGAUUUUCUUUGCCUUUGUGUUUGAUGCCGUCGUGUGGGAAAAGUCAACUCCGAUGCCACCAUUGCGGGCCGGACGAAGGAUGCUUUCUUCCUAGAGGCUCCGAGCUGAGCUGCGAACUCGCCCCCCGCCCUUGGGACAAGAAGACCCAGUCACAUCACUGCACCCGUCCUGUGUCCUCACCAUUGCUAUGCAAAGUGAUUCUUGUUGUACAUAAGAUUUAAAUAAUGCACCUAUUUAAGACAUGUUGACAAAUUGCGGGUCUGGGACCCGCCUCUUAUUUAUGAAGUCUUUGACCGUCCCCCCCGCCCGACCCCACCGCCCUCCCGCCCCCACCUGGCGUGUAGUACUGUAUAAACCAGUCAGCUGUCGGGUUAGUGGUAGUAUUAUUGUUAUUUUUUUAAAGGAAACAAAC